This 228-nucleotide long non-coding RNA is filed under the name Carica papaya (papaya). Its description in RNAcentral is "long non-coding RNA (CPAP_LNC013515)". The record is from RNAcentral. Lineage: Eukaryota; Viridiplantae; Streptophyta; Magnoliopsida; Brassicales; Caricaceae.
AACUCAAAUCAACACAUAUAUUUGAAAUUUGUUACCGUACAUCCCAUUUCCAUCUCCCUUCUUUCGGCCGAUUGCACUAUCACCGUUCGCGGUCUCCUCUUCUAUCCGCUUUGUUUCCUUUCUCUCUCAUUCUGGAACCUUCCAUCCUCUCCUCUUUCUCUUUCCCGCUCCCCUUCUUCCUCCGUUCUUUUUUUUUUCCUUUUUUUUUCUUCUUUUUCUUUCUUCUUU